This 70-nucleotide transfer RNA is filed under the name Dipodomys ordii (Ord's kangaroo rat). It matches the Rfam family "tRNA". Rfam says of the family: Transfer RNA (tRNA) molecules are approximately 80 nucleotides in length. Their secondary structure includes four short double-helical elements and three loops (D, anti-codon, and T loops). Further hydrogen bonds mediate the characteristic L-shaped molecular structure. tRNAs have two regions of fundamental functional importance: the anti-codon, which is responsible for specific mRNA codon recognition, and the 3' end, to which the tRNAs corresponding amino acid is attached (by aminoacyl-tRNA synthetases). tRNAs cope with the degeneracy of the genetic code in two manners: having more than one tRNA (with a specific anti-codon) for a particular amino acid; and 'wobble' base-pairing, i.e. permitting non-standard base-pairing at the 3rd anti-codon position. Lineage: Eukaryota; Metazoa; Chordata; Mammalia; Rodentia; Heteromyidae. The record is from Rfam by way of RNAcentral.
GGGAAUGUGGCUUAGUGGUAGAGUGUUUGCCUAGCAUGCACAAAGCUCUGGGUUCGAUUCCUCAGUACCA